CGUAACAAGGUUUCCGUAGGUGAACCUGCGGAAGGAUCAUUGUCGAAAACGAACGGAAGAACGACCCGCGAACCGUCCCCACCUACCGAACGGAGGUCGCGAGCCGAAACGCUCGCGUCCCUCGCGUCGCGUCGGCGCGGGCCUUCCCCGGAGGCCGGCGUCGUCCCGACAAACGAACAUCGUCAGCACGAAUCGUGCCAAGGACCCGUAAAAGGCGAGAAUCGCCGUCCCCGGCCCCCGGUCGUUCUCGGCGGGGGGCGCGGGACGCGCGCGAUCUCUGCUCUAAGUCUUUAAUGACUCUCGGCAACGGAUAUCUCGGCUCUUGCAUCGAUGAAGAACGUAGCGAAAUGCGAUACUUGGUGUGAAUUGCAGAAUCCCGCGAACCAUCAAUUCUUUGAACGCAAGUUGCGCCCGAAGCCAUUUGGCCGAGGGCACGCCUGCCUGGGCGUCGUGAAUCCCCUUGCCCCCCGGAACCCGCGCGAGCAUCGUCGCGGGUUUUCCCGGGCGCAGAAUAUGGUCUCCCGUCGCAUCGGCGUGCGCGGCACGCCGUGGUACGGUUGGCCGAAAAUCGAGCAUUGCGACGUCGGGCUGCACGGCGCUAGGUGGAUCGAACGCGAUUGGCUGCGCCGUGGUCCCGUCGUGCCGCGGGCUCAGGACUAGGACGGUUCCCCAGUGCGAUCCCAGGUCAGG
This 690-nucleotide ribosomal RNA is filed under the name Melastoma candidum. Its description in RNAcentral is "eukaryotic LSU rRNA". The stretch from base 296 to 451 matches the Rfam family "5.8S ribosomal RNA". The record is from RNAcentral. Lineage: Eukaryota; Viridiplantae; Streptophyta; Magnoliopsida; Myrtales; Melastomataceae. RNAcentral also lists the same sequence under 5 other names.